AUUAUUGAAACUUGAGGUGGAACCAAAGUCGAAUACAAAGUCCAAACAAGGGAAACUAAGCCGGCAGACAACAUAAAAGUCCCCGGAAACUAAGCCGGUGGAAAACGUAAAUUCUCCGGAAACUAAGCCUUAAGCAAGGGAAACACAACCACUAAUACAAAGCAGAAAUUUCAAAGCCAAAACGAAAGAGAUCGAAACCAUAAACUAAGAAUAGAGGCAAACAAACUUAAACCCGAAGAGAAACCACAAGGCCCAAGCACAAAACAUGACCUUUUCUUUUGAGACACCUGCGAAUGAGAUUUACCAAUGCUGCCCACGGCCAACCCAUUUAUAACAACUGCCUCCUCCUAUCAUGAUGAGAGAUGAGCUCUCGAAACCAAGACUUCAUAACCCGGCAAGAAAAGGCCAAAACUGAACCUCGUAAGAUACUUCCGAAUGCGGCGAAGACGAAGCGUCAUGGAGCGCCUAGAUAAAAGUCUUAAAGAAGCAAUCCAAACACACCCGAUUCGGAAAUGCAAAGACAAGGAGAAAAACCUAACCAUCUCGAGGAACAAGGAUCAUGAAAUUAAGCACGACACUCAGACCGAAAUGGUAAUCAUCCACAACGUCCUCCACCAAAGAGAAGACAAUUUUGAAAACCUAGAACGAUGCACAAUCCUUCACACAAAAAACCUCCACAAAGAACAGAGACGAUCCAAACGAGAGACUGCUAGCUAAAACAACACAAGGAAGUGACAACGGAAAGACAAAGGCAUGAAGAAGACUGACGAGAGACCUCACAUCAGCUAAGCCGGCGGCAUCAAAACAACAAAAAGCACAAGAGCGAGAACAAGGUCUGGGUUGGGAAGAGCAAGAAACAAUGGCACUAUUACAGACAAAGCUCACCGUCGAUCAAACAGAUCCG
RNAcentral lists this long non-coding RNA (904 nucleotides) under Arabidopsis lyrata. RNAcentral's name for it is "long non-coding RNA (ALYR_LNC003344)". The record is from RNAcentral. Lineage: Eukaryota; Viridiplantae; Streptophyta; Magnoliopsida; Brassicales; Brassicaceae.